Molecule: ribosomal RNA, 766 nt
Filed under: uncultured bacterium
Lineage: Bacteria
Description: bacterial SSU rRNA
Rfam family: Bacterial small subunit ribosomal RNA
Source: RNAcentral
CCGAAUUCUUCCACAACAGAGUUUGAUCCUGGCUCAGAUUGAACGCUGGCGGCAGGCCUAUUACAUGCCAGUCGAGCGGAUGAUGGGAGCUUGCUCCCGGAUUCAGCGGCGGACGGGUGAGUAAUGCCUAGGAAUCUGCCUGGUAGUGGGGGACAACGUUUCGAAAGGAACGCUAAUACCGCAUACGUCCUACGGGAGAAAGCAGGGGACCUUCGGGCCUUGCGCUAUCAGAUGAGCCUAGGUCGGAUUAGCUAGUUGGUGGGGUAAAGGCCUACCAAGGCGACGAUCCGUAACUGGUCUGAGAGGAUGAUCAGUCACACUGGAACUGAGACACGGUCCAGACUCCUACGGGAGGCAGCAGUGGGGAAUAUUGGACAAUGGGCGAAAGCCUGAUCCAGCCAUGCCGCGUGUGUGAAGAAGGUCUUCGGAUUGUAAAGCACUUUAAGUUGGGAGGAAGGGCAGUAAGUUAAUACCUUGCUGUUUUGACGUUACCAACAGAAUAAGCACCGGCUAACUUCGUGCCAGCAGCCGCGGUAAUACGAAGGGUGCAAGCGUUAAUCGGAAUUACUGGGCGUAAAGCGCGCGUAGGUGGUUUGGUAAGAUGGAUGUGAAAUCCCCGGGCUCAACCUGGGGACUGCAUCCAUAACUGCCUGACUAGAGUACGGUAGAGGGUGGCGGAAUUUCCUGUGUAGCGGUGAAAUGCGUAGAUAUAGGGAAGGAACACCAGUGGCGAAAGCGAUCACCUGGACUGAUACUGACACUGAGG